UCAAGCUUCGUUUUUUUUGCUUUUUACAAUAAGUGUUGCUACUGCUCAGUCUUUGAGUCCACGCUACUUUUAUGAGCUGUAACACUCACUACAAAGGUCUGCAGCUUCACUCUUGAAGCCAGCGAGACCACUGAGCUCACCGGGAGGAACAAACAACUCCGGACGCACUGUCUUAAGAGCUAUAACACCGCCAAGGUCUGCAUCUUCACUUCUGAGCCAGCGAGACCACGAACCCACCAGAAGGAAGAAACUCGGAACACAUCUGAAUAUCAGAAGGAACAGACUCCAGACGCGCCACCUCAAGAGCUGUAACACUCACGGCGAGGGUCCGCGGCUUCAUUCUUGAGGGCAAAAUCUUUUUCCCUUGAAGACUGGAAAUAUUAUCCAUGUUGUCCUCCGGAAUAUUUUCAAUGACUUGUGCCCUGCCAGCUCUAGCUUUUGAAGGGUCUACACUCAUCAUCAACAGAUUCUGGGGGUUCAUGCACAGAUUUCUUACCUGGGUAUAUUGUGUGAUGCUGAGCUUUGGAGUUCAACUGAUUUCAUCACCCAGCAACCAGCCCAGGAAGCCAGCCCAUUAUCCAGAGGAACCAACCAAGGAAGCCAGCCUGCUCUCUAGAAGCUAGACUUGUAGGAAGCCAGACCACUGUCUCUAGCAACUGAUCCAGGAAGACAGAAAAGAACACCUCAAUAACAGGACCAAAGUGGCCAGGACUUGACUGAUGAGUAACUGACAGCUUCCCUAAUUUUUGGCCCUACUUCCAACAGAAGAA
RNAcentral lists this long non-coding RNA (770 nucleotides) under Homo sapiens (human). RNAcentral's name for it is "HSALNT0332577". The record is from RNAcentral. Lineage: Eukaryota; Metazoa; Chordata; Mammalia; Primates; Hominidae.